GGGGAAGUGGCUCAGAGGUAGAGUGCUUGCCUUGCAAGCAUGAGGCCCUGGGUUCAAUUCCUCAGCACCA
RNAcentral lists this transfer RNA (70 nucleotides) under Dipodomys ordii (Ord's kangaroo rat). It matches the Rfam family "tRNA". Rfam says of the family: Transfer RNA (tRNA) molecules are approximately 80 nucleotides in length. Their secondary structure includes four short double-helical elements and three loops (D, anti-codon, and T loops). The record is from Rfam by way of RNAcentral. Lineage: Eukaryota; Metazoa; Chordata; Mammalia; Rodentia; Heteromyidae.